GCAAGUCGAACGGUAACAGGCUAAUGUGAUCCCUUCGGGGUGAACUGUGCGCUGACGAUUGGCGGACGGGUGAGUAAUACAUAGGAAUCUACCCAGUAGUAGGGGAUAACUUGGAGAAAUCCAUGCUAAUACCGCAUAUGCCCUACGGGGCAAAGCAGGGGACCCUCGGGCCUUGCGCUAUUGGAUGAGCCUAUGUCGGAUUAGCUAGUUGGUAGGGUAAUGGCCUACCAAGGCUACGAUGGGUAGCUGGUCUGAGAGGAUGAUC
This 265-nucleotide ribosomal RNA is filed under the name uncultured bacterium. RNAcentral's name for it is "partial 16S ribosomal RNA". It matches the Rfam family "Bacterial small subunit ribosomal RNA", at positions 57 to 305 of the family's 1533-position model. The record is from RNAcentral.